RNAcentral lists this ribosomal RNA (883 nucleotides) under uncultured Dothideomycetes. Its description in RNAcentral is "SSU rRNA". It matches the Rfam family "Eukaryotic small subunit ribosomal RNA", at positions 564 to 1473 of the family's 1831-position model. Lineage: Eukaryota; Fungi; Ascomycota; Dothideomycetes. The record is from RNAcentral.
GUGCCAAGCAGCCGCGGUAAUUCCAGCUCCAAUAGCGUAUAUUAAAGUGUGNNCAGUUAAAAAGCUCGUAGUUGAACCUUGGGUCUGGCUGGCCGGUCCGCCUCACCGCGUGUACUGGUCCGGCCGGACCUUUCCUUCUGGGGAGCCGCAUGCCCUUCACUGGGCGUGUCGGGGAACCAGGACUUUUACUUUGAAAAAAUUAGAGUGUUCAAAGCAGGCCUUUGCUCGAAUACAUUAGCAUGGAGUAAUAGAAUAGGACGUGCGGUUCUAUUUUGUUGGUUUCUAGGACCGCCGUAAUGAUUAAUAGGGAUAGUCGGGGGCAUCCGUAUUCAAUUGUCAGAGGUGAAAUUCUUGGAUUUAUUGAAGACGAACUACUGCGAAAGCAUUUGCCAAGGAUGUUUUCAUUAAUCAGUGAACGAAAGUUAGGGGAUCGAAGACGAUCAGAUACCGUCGUAGUCUUAACCAUAAACUAUGCCGACUCGGGAUCGGUGGGCGUUACUAUUUUGACUCCAUCGGCACCGUACGAGAAAUCAAAGUUUUUGGGUUCUGGGGGGAGUAUGGUCGCAAGGCUGAAACUUAAAGAAAUUGACGGAAGGGCACCACCAGGCGUGGAGCCUGCGGCUUAAUUUGACUCAACACGGGGAAACUCACCAGGUCCAGACACAAUAAGGAUUGACAGAUUGAGAGCUCUUUCUUGAUUUUGUGGGUGGUGGUGCAUGGCCGUUCUUAGUUGGUGGAGUGAUUUGUCUGCUUAAUUGCGAUAACGAACGAGACCUUAACCUGCUAAAUAGCCCGGCCCGCUUUGGCGGGUCGCCGGCUUCUUAGAGGGACUAUCGGCUCAAGCCGAUGGAAGUUUGAGGCAAUAACAGGUCUGUGAUGCCCC